AAAGCAAGCUCAAGGAUAGCCAGGGCUGUUAUAUAGAGAAAUCCUGACAACUAUCAAAAAGAAAUUCAUCAUUUUCCUCCUUCCUGACUUCUCUACAACCCUUCCUUCCUAUUGCUCUCUCUCUCUCAAAUUCAUAACCUCUAAGUGUGUGUGUGUGUGUGUGUGUGUGUGUAAAUACAUGCUCCUAAAUAUAAAUAUAUCCUACUCAGCCUCUGCAUUGCUCGUGUGUAUGUGAUUUCAAUGGACAUGCAAACAUAAAAGAGAGAAACCAAUAGGACCUCAACCCUAUACACAGAACUAUAAGCUACUAAGAAAUUCUGAGAUUAGAAGACAUAGUCGUCCCCAAAUUGGUUAUCCAAAACCGUGUGAUCAGCCCUGAAGUCAUGUUCAUACAAGCAAAUACUGGGCCAUCUCUCCAGCCUCAUCCCCUUUUAUUUCCAAGACACAAUCUCACUCUAUACCCAGACUUGUCUCGAGGCCAGGUUAGCCUUGCAUUCACUGGAAUCCUCCUGCUUCAGCUUCCUGACUGACGGAAUUGUAUGCAUGAAUCAUCACAUGGGUUACCAGUGGUUUUUCAAAUUCAGGAUCUUGGCUUGAUUUUACCCACAGGAAAGGCUCAUAUAGAACCUGAGUAUAUAGUGUUUCCUUCUCGACCUGGAGGGCUCUGGUCACCUCUCCCCCAAGGGCUCUGAACUAAAGUAAAAAAUGUCACAGCCACCCAUAAAAAAUGUACUCCGUGGAUUCAACUGCUUAAUGGAAAAUUCCUAUAAAGAAGCCAUAGAAUUUGUCCUUGGUAAAGCUGGGACAGCUCUAAAAUAGACUAGAACAUGGCAAGGUCCUGUACUUGGAGCUUGAGCAAACCACUAGCACACUAACUUCAUUUAUUUAGUCCUUUGGCAUUAUUAGAUUUCCUUAAGUCAAAGCUAACAGUGCACAACUUCAGGAAAGCUAUAAACCUAACAGCCACAGCAGGAAGAAGACGGGUCAGCCUUCUACCAAGAUAACCAUCAAAUCUACAGCCAAUGGCUGAUUGUGACACCAAAAUUCUCAACGGGAACUCACUCAGCCUCACUGGGAGUGACAAUGGAGAUGGCCAAAUCAGGGAGAGAACCCAUCCUCUUUUGCAAUUUGACAAUAUUAAAUGUCUAGACAGUCUGAAACCAAAGCCAGCCUUGGGUAGGGCCUGGCUGUAGGGCCAUCAGUCAGGUCAGAAAUGGCACAUGGCAUAUGAGUUUAGUAUGUAAGAGCCAGCAUAGUUUAAGCAUACGAAACGAAACAAAAAAACCCAGCACUCACCCCUGUGGUUAAUUAUCAUUACUCUAGACACAUCCUAGCCAGUGUUCCAGUAGAAAGGGCAGGCAUUCAUUAUAUGAAUUGGCCUUUUGUAAAUCAGUGAAAGUUAACCAUUGUAGCUAAGAGUCAUGCGUGCCAGUGCGAGGGCUGGACCUGACAGGGUGCGUGCAGGUGAACAGUCCCUCGGGAGAAACCAUGUGGUGAUGUAAUACAGCUCCCCCUUCAGACACCACUGCUACUCGUUUUAGGUAGAUAUAGAGGUUAGAUAGUUUAGGUAUUAAGGAAGUUACAAUGUACAAAUAGUUAAGUUAAAACUCCCAGAGGCCAGCCUGAAUGAGUUGUGGGUAACGCUGCUUUAAUGUUGAAGCACUGACGGGGGUGGUGGAAGUCAGCACGAAGACAGGAGUGGCAUUUGAUGACAAAGAUGAACCAAGAGAUGUGUUCAAAACUCAGCCCUGACACGGUGAGUUAUUUUCAAUUCAAGGACUCCUACCCACUGGCUUUGUCUGUGCAUGUCAAGAAUUUCCCAGAUUGCAGCACAAAAUCACCUCUGUGCUCAUUUCUCCAGGUUUGGGUUCCCGGCUAGCGAGACAAGGACACUUUGGAAUAAAAAGCCUAGGCUAGAAAAGGGUUUGCGGAUUUUACUGUCACAACCUUAGCAAUGCUCACUUGAAAUGGCAGGAGCUGUAAGUCCAUUCUACAGGAGAAUAAGAAUUCCAGCAAAGUGAGGGUUGGGGAGGGAGCUCCAUUAGAAGGGGGGAAAAUGGUACCAAUCCACGAGUUAGCAUAAAACUUUCUUUCAUUUCAUUUCUUCGACGUUGGUUUUUCUAUUUUAUUUAUUCAACUGGGGACCCUCUCAUGCAGCCUGGAAUAGCCUCAAACUUAGAAGAUGCCCUUAAAACUCCUGUUCUCCCUGCCUGCACCUCCAGAGUGUGGGGAUCACUUGGUAGUGCUGGCACAUCCAAGUUUCCACCACUAUGCUAGGAUCAAAGACAAAGCAGCAAGCAUGCGAAGCAAGCAGUCUCCCACCUGUGCCACAUUUCCCAGACCUCACUAGGAUAAUAACUCAGGCAGGCUACGGUGCUCUGAGCCUGAAACAAGAGACGCUAGAGUGACAAGCUAAUCAUUUCAAGAUGAGAAACCAGGCUGGUAUAAACCAGAAAUAGACGUGUCAACUGGAGGACACAAGGACAGCAGAGACCCUCAGGGCUCUGGAGCUACAGGGAAGACGAUGUAGGUUCCAUUUUGAGAGAUCUGUGAGGUCAUGUCAGUAUCAGAAUUUGGGAUUAAAAUUUAGUAUAGUAAUAAGAUUAAAUUUUGUUCACAAAAGUUAACUGUAUAUAGCUGCCAAUAUAAAAUAUCGAACUUAAACUUAACUAAACGUAGGUUACCCUUUCUGUAACGUCUCUAAGAACGGCUCUUUUAAAAUCUGCAGAGAACUUUCAACAAUAGGACAUUAAACCCACGCAAUAAACUAAAGGCAGUGAGAAUCUCGCCUUCUCCAGCUAGGUUAGGUUCACUUUUUCCUAUCCUGGGUUGGAUCCACCUUACUGGUUUUGUCUUAACACUACUACGGAGCUAUGGCUUGCUGUGAGCUAUUAAGGCAAAAAUCAAAAACCAAACAAAAUAAAAAAAAAAAGAUUAAGAGCAAUUAAGACAAACAGGAAGGGAAGAAAGUAAUGAACAAUCAGCUCACUACAUAAGAAAAACUAGGUUAACCCACCAACCCAUCCCAUCUCUCUGGGAAUGGAGCCCAAGGGCUCCACACGCACCACACGUACGCCUGACCCAGUUCCACGGGCCUGCAAAACAGCUGCCAGUCGGAACAGCUCAGCCCAAGCAGGUGCCAGACUUUUGUCAGAAAUGCCAGGCUUUUCAGGUUCAUACAUUUUCUAUGCACUUUCAGAAGAGAAGAAAGGGGAAAGGGGGAGCAAGAAGAUAAGCUUGAAGAGAGGAACAGGAGAAGGAAGAAAAGUAACAGGGAAAGGGGGUAAAGGAGCAGAGAGAAGAACCCACUAUUUAACCAAUACUAAUCUGUUUAACUGUUCCAAUCAUCUGGUGAUCUUGAAAGUUCUGGGUAGACUGAGAAACUGGAACAUACAUUCAACAAUGUGUUUUAUAAAAAAGAAGAGGAAGGCCAGUGAUAUGCUUGGUAGGGUAAGGUAUGGUGCGGUGGAAGGGGGUGCCUCUGCUGGCCCAUGCUGAGGCAUCCCUUCCCCCUGAGGUACCAGCCACAUGAAGGGUAUAUAUAGAAUAGAGUUUAUUUAGGGCGUGGGGAGGGAAGAUGAGCAGAGUAGUAGAGACAGACACAGAGAGAGAGAGAGAGAGAGAGAGAGAGAGAGAGAGAGAGAGAGAGAGAGAGAUGAGGCUGGCUAUGAACGGAGGGGGUAGGGGGAAUGGGGAGAGACGAGACAGAGGGGGAAGAGAAUUAAAGAGCAAGAGAGUGAAGAGGGGGCAAGCAGCCCCUUUUAUAGUGAGUCAGGCAUACCUGGCUGUUGUCAGGUAACUGUGGACUGGAGCCUAGAAGAAAUGCUAACAUACAUGAAACAACACGUUGCGAUGAAUCACUAAAUGAUGCUUAAAAACAAUCCUGGGCACCUUUUGCAUUCAAAUCAAAUAGAUUGGGACUAGAAGUCCCCAGUGAGAGGGACUGUGCCUCCAGGGAACAUGGCCAUCUCCGAAGGAUCUAACUAUUGGGAGGAGGUGCUUCUGGCAACAACAAGGUAGAGGAAGGAUGCUCCCUAACACCCUGCGGUGCACAGUACUUCCAUUGCCCACCCUAAAAGAUCUGUCCCAUCUCAGCCGCCACACAGUGCUGACUCAGUGCUAGGUCAGCUCAUGAUUCCCAGAAGGUCCGGGAGUACAUCAGUUCGGUCACAUGCCUCCGUUCUGGGCCUGGCCGCAGACCAAUGGAGUCAAAGGCAAGCAAGUCUUUGUGCCCUGCAACCAGCCGGCAGCCAGCCCCUUUGGAGCUAGUGCUCAAAACCAUUCCGCAUGUUUCUACCAGUGAGGGGGAGAGAAAGAUCACCUUUGUUUUCUUCCUGCCCUUUCUUCACUAUUUUCCCUCCCCUCACCUCCCCACCACCCCGAUUCUUUUCCUGAGGUUUGGAGGCAAGGUCUUAUCUGAGACUGGCCUGGGACUCACUAGGUAACCAAGGAUGCCUUUGAACUCCUGAAGCUUUCCUGCCUUCAUCAUAUCCAACACAGCUAUUGCUCCCAAGGGUUGAAUGAAGACGCAGGGUCAAAGGGUUAAUGCCUUCCUUCCCAGGCCCUGACGGGGCUGCUUGCUGUGGCUGCACAGGCUCCUACUUUAUCCUUGGAAGAGGUGUGCUAGGAUUCUAAAGCUUUGGAUUGCAAAAGGCAGCAUGGCUGCGACUGCAUGUGUGACUCAGUGGAGGCCAUCCCUGGAGGUGUCAAGUUCUGUACAGAAAGGUACAGCCAGCCCCUCACACCAGUAAGACAACUGAGCCUGCCCAUGGAUUUUGACUAACCAGAACACUGACAUACACCAGAACUGAGACUCCAUUUCCACAGAAGAGGCCAAAUGGAUUUAAAAUCCAGAUUCCAGUUCUCACCUGAGGCAGAUCCAAGAUAAGCAGAAAAGAAACCGGAGUUCCUCUUCAAUCCCCUAGAAUCUCUCAUGUUUGCACAUAGGCUAAAUAUUUCAGAAAUAAUUUUGGACAGGGAUUCCAAAAUGAUAAGCCAUUAAUAUUGGUUUUCUAACUGACCCAGGAUGUUAAUUCUGAAAUAAAACCUUUAUUGCUUAA
Mus musculus (house mouse) is the source of this 5060-nucleotide long non-coding RNA. RefSeq annotates it as predicted gene, 35730. NCBI's taxonomy places the organism in Eukaryota, Metazoa, Chordata, Mammalia, Rodentia, Muridae. The record is from RefSeq and is a predicted model, not a curated record. The transcript has 3 exons.